Molecule: small RNA, 183 nt
Rfam family: Listeria sRNA rli28
Source: Rfam
UAAGCUAUGGUAUGUUGUUUAAGCAGGAAGUUUUAAGGGCGGUGGCUGUCUUUUCCCGAUGAGGUGACGUCUAUGGGAACAUGGAAGAAUCUUCAGAAAGGGUUCACAGCCUAUGAGUGUCUUUCAGGCACUGUCGCUGAUGAUUGCGUUCAGCUUAUUAGUCACAACCAUUCUCAACGACAA